AUAACAAGUGCAAGUAGUGAUGAGGAACUUUUAGAUGGAGCAGGUGUUAUUAUGGACUUUCAAACAUCUGAAGAUGACAAUUUAUUAGAUGGUGACACUGCAGUUGAGACGGGGUUUCUCCAUGUUGCUCAGGCUGGUCUGCAACUCCUGGGCUCAAGCAAUCUACCUGCCUUGGCCUUUCAAAGUGCUGGGAUUACAGGCGUAAGCCACCGUGCCCGUCCUCACAGGGCUUUUAUUAUUAACAUUCUUCAAUAUCUCCUACUUGAAUCACAAGAUUCCACAAUGACACCAUUAUUAUAUAGUAUAAACAUUGAUUAUUUGUGAUGUUCUGGCAGGAUUCAUAGGUGUAUUUUAGACUAUCUUCGAAUAGAUGGACUGUAUAGAGAGUUUCAGGAGGUCAUCAAUGUAUAUUUUUUCUGAGGUUUGAUAUAUAUUAGGUAACAGUGAUUUUAGAAUUAUAACAGAGCUAUAUUAUAAAAGAGUGUAUUAUUUACAUUUAGCUAGUUUUUCUUUAGCAACAGAACACAACCCAGCUGAAUGUAAGACUGAAUAGAAGCCACCAGAAGU
RNAcentral lists this small RNA (567 nucleotides) under Pan troglodytes (chimpanzee). RNAcentral's name for it is "processed transcript". The record is from RNAcentral. Lineage: Eukaryota; Metazoa; Chordata; Mammalia; Primates; Hominidae.